This 165-nucleotide ribosomal RNA is filed under the name Ureaplasma urealyticum. Its description in RNAcentral is "partial 16S ribosomal RNA". It matches the Rfam family "Bacterial small subunit ribosomal RNA", at positions 1216 to 1379 of the family's 1533-position model. The record is from RNAcentral. Lineage: Bacteria; Bacillati; Mycoplasmatota; Mycoplasmoidales; Mycoplasmoidaceae.
GCAAACGUGCUACAAUGGCUAAUACAAACUGCUGCAAAAUCGUAAGAUGAAGCGAAACAGAAAAAGUUAGUCUCAGUUCGGAUAGAGGGCUGCAAUUCGUCCUCUUGAAGUUGGAAUCACUAGUAAUCGCGAAUCAGACAUGUCGCGGUGAAUACGUUCCCGGGC